GAUCUGAGAGGACUACCCCCCACACGGAUACUGAGACACGGAUCCGACUCCUACGGGAGGCAGCAGUGAGGAAUAUUGGACAAUGCCCGCAAGGGUGAUCCAGCCAUGCCGCGUGCAGGAAGAAGGCGCUAUGCGUCGUAAACUGCUUUUACACCAGAGAAAACCCUCCUACGUGUAGGGGGCUGAUAGUACGGUGAGAAUAAGCAUCGGCUAACUUCGUGCCAGCAGCCGCGGUAAGACGAAGGAUGCAAGCGUUAUCCGGAUUCAUUGGGUUUAAAGGGAGCGUAGGCGGCCCUAUAAGUCAGUGGUGAAAUCUCUCGGCUUAACCGAGAAAUUGCCAUUGAUACUGUAGGGCUUGAGUACAGUUGCCGUUGGCGGAAUAUGACAUGUAGUGGUGAAAUACAUAGAGAUGUCAUAGAACACCGAUUGCGAAGGCAGCUAACGAAGCUGUAACUGACGCUGAGGCUCGAAAGUGCGGGGAUCAAACAGGAUUAGAUACCCUGGUAGUCCGCACUGUAAACGAUGAUUACUCGCUGCUGGAGGGCAACCUUCAGUGGCUUAGCGAAAGCGAUAAGUAAUCCACCUGGGGAGUACGCCGGCAACGGUGAAACUCAAAGGAAUUGACGGGGGCCCGCACAAGCGGAGGAGCAUGUGGUUUAAUUCGAUGAUACGCGAGGAACCUUACCAGGGCUUGAAAGUUAGUGACCGACUCUGAAAGGAGUCUUUCAGCAAUGACACGAAACUAGGUGCUGCAUGGCUGUCGUCAGCUCGUGCCGUGAGGUGUUGGGUUAAGUCCCGCAACGAGCGCAACCCCUACCAUUAGUUGCCAGCGGUUCGGCCGGGGACUCUAAUGGAACUGCCCGUGCAAACGGAGAGGAAGGUGGGGACGACGUCAAGUCAUCACGGCCCUUACGUCCUGGGCUACACACGUGCUACAAUGGUUAUUACAGAGGGCAGCUACCUGGCAACAGGAUGCAAAUCUUCAAAAAUAAUCUCAGUUCGGAUUGGGGUCUGCAACUCGACCCCAUGAAGCUGGAUUCGCUAGUAAUCGCGCAUCAGCAAUGGCGCGGUGAAUACGUUCCCGGGCCUUGUACACACCGCCCGUCAAACAAUGGAAGUUGGGGGUAUCUAAAGUCGGUAGCCGUAAGGCGCCGCCUAGGGUAAAACUGAUAACUGGUGUUAAGUCGAAACAAGGUAGCCGUACCGGAUGGUGCGGCUG
This 1219-nucleotide ribosomal RNA is filed under the name metagenome. RNAcentral describes it as "bacterial SSU rRNA". It matches the Rfam family "Bacterial small subunit ribosomal RNA", at positions 289 to 1520 of the family's 1533-position model. The record is from RNAcentral.